Molecule: ribosomal RNA, 555 nt
Filed under: Maudiozyma bulderi
Lineage: Eukaryota; Fungi; Ascomycota; Saccharomycetes; Saccharomycetales; Saccharomycetaceae
Description: LSU rRNA
Rfam family: Eukaryotic large subunit ribosomal RNA
Source: RNAcentral
CGUAGAACUACCGGGAUUGCCUUAGUAACGGCGAGUGAAGCGGCAAAAGCUCAAAUUUGAAAUCUGGUACCUUCGGUGCCCGAGUUGUAAUUUGUAGAGGGCGACUUUGGGGCGGCUCCUUGUCUAUGUUCCUUGGAACAGGACGUCAUAGAGGGUGAGAAUCCCGUGUGGCGAGGAGUGCGGUUCCGUGUAAAGCGCUCUCGAAGAGUCGAGUUGUUUGGGAAUGCAGCUCUAAGUGGGUGGUAAAUUCCAUCUAAAGCUAAAUAUUGGCGAGAGACCGAUAGCGAACAAGUACAGUGAUGGAAAGAUGAAAAGAACUUUGAAAAGAGAGUGAAAAAGUACGUGAAAUUGUUGAAAGGGAAGGGCAUUUGAUCAGACAUGGUGUUUUGCGCCCCUCGCUCCUUGUGGGUGGGGGACCCUCGCAGCUCACUGGGCCAGCAUCAGUUUUGGCGGUCGGAUAAAACCAGGGGAACGUAGCUUGCUUCGGGAAGUGUUAUAGCCCUUGGGAAUACGGCCAGCCGGGACUGAGGAACGCGAUUCGUCAAGGAUGCUGCA